GAUCUUAAAUGUGUUUUAGGUUUUCUGCGACAAUUAGCUGUGACCCCUUAAUGUAGCUAAUGUUUAUAAAAUUUUAUAGUCAAAAUUAUUAUUUUUUUUAGUGUGUGUCAAAAAACAUGUAGUAUAUGUUUGCCUACUUAGAGUUGGAAAAUAUACUGUGACUCAGAAAUUGUAAACAGUUCUUUUUGUGCUGUAAAAAUGAAUACUACCAGUAUGUCAAAAGAAAAAUAGUGUGCGUUUGUAAUAUAAGGUAAAAUUGUAUUUAAUGUAUAUUAUGGAAUUUUACAUUUGCGCUGACUUAGGAAACUUUAAAGGUGAUGUUAAUUUACAGAUUCCUGUGGAUCUGAAUACGUAAUUUGUAAGCUUUUUUCCCCUCAAAACGAUAACACUGAAACAAGAGCCAGCACUUUAUAUUCACACUUUUAAAAUAUUCUACCUAAUUUGGGACAAUGGAACAUAGGUAGAUUUACUUUAAAGAUCUAGAAAUUUAAAAAGAAAAAACAGUGUUGUUACUCUAUCCCAAUCUGAAUGAAGGCGUGUUCUCAGCAACAAGACAGAAGAGGUUGUUUUGGUUUUGCUUUCUAGAAGUAUGCCCCUGCCUUUCUCAAAUUUUCCCUUGAAGGCUUAUCUCCUGUUUCUCCAAGUAUAUACCCUGCAGUCUGUCCGCAGCAUCAGAAUCACCUCAGGGACUGGUUGACAGUGUGGCUGCCUAAGCCCAGCAACCAGCCGUUGACUUGAGGAAUUGGGGUCCCUGGAGGUGGGACCUCGGCAUCUCUGGUUUCAUGAACAGGCACCUCACACGCUUCUGAUGCACACUGAAAUUUUAAAGUUACUCGUCUGUACCUCCUGUGUUCACCCAGGGCUUUUGCCGGCUAGAUACUAUGCAGAAAUGUUGAAUUAAUUGGAUGUUCUUAAAUGUGUUUUUCCUUCACUCCACUAACUGCUUUCUUCCCCCCAAAUCUAUCUUCUAAAGGAACUGUAUGAAAAAUUGGUUCGUAUCCUAUCCAGAUUGAUAAACUCUGUUACAUAAAAAUUGGUAGCCUCAGAUUUUUCUGUGGAACUAUAGGUUCUGGGCUCUGAUCCAUGGAGUCUUGGAGGACAAGCAGUGCUUCAGGGGCCGGUGGAGUGGAGCCCACUGGGGCUUCUGCUUUCUCCCCACGCCGGGGUGCUGCUUCAGAUCAGAUUUCGGUACAUAAAACACUUCCUUUUUUUAAAAAAAAUAGUUUCCACUAUUUUCUUUCAAAGAGUUUGGAAGCCACUAUAAUGACUCUGUCACCUGGUUAAUUUUCUACUGAUUUUUACAUAUUCAGAAACCUCUUGUUUUUUUGUAAAAAGAAUAUUUUGGAUGUCUCAGUUGCUGCCUGGAAUAUGGCCACUUGGAAUAUGGCUAUUUCACAAAUUUUGAAGGCAUUUUGUUGAAUAGUAAAGCACUGACUUAGCCUCUGUUCCUUGUACUUCUAAUUUUAGUAAAGUAUAGAAAUGGUCUGUGUAUUUAAUUUUAGUUAUGUAAGUACACACACACACACAUUUACCCCCAUGGCCCUGACUGUGCAGUCAGUGCAUGAGGCUCACAGGUCUCAAAAAGGUGCAUUCUGAGGUUCUGGAGAAAGAAUCAAAAACUGUCACCCUCGAAUACAGAAGUUCACAAAACUUAAAUGAUUGAGGUUAGUCACCUACAGAAAUGUCUGCAGAAACUAAGUCACCUAGAAGCUAUAAAUUUAAGUGUACUGCUGAUAGUAGACCUAGGACACUUCAGUCUCUGCAAAGAUGUCCUGAGCUACCUCACCGAUAAAGGGAAGUGUCAAAGCAGAAUGCGCCUUACAAGAUAAGCUAUAGGAAAUCGCCAUCACGUGGUACUUUUUGAUGACUGACUCGGAAUGCGGAAAAGAGAGCUGGAAAGUUAGAUUGCCUUCCUUGUUCCUCUAACAUUGUCCAGGCAAAGGGACAACCUGAUUGGAUGACAAGAUUGGGCUAUCUGAGCAAAUUCCUAGAGUAAGGAAGGGUGCUUUGUGUACUUGGGUGACAGUGGCUCGUAAGAACUUUUGUUCUCGUUACUCCAGUUCUGGGCUCUGCCAGCAGUCUUCUUCUCAAAUUUGAUCAGCUUGAAUGAGCCCAGCACAUAAAUUGGCACUCUGGUUUUAGUUCUGUUUUGUGCAAGUUUAGAGCAGCCAGACCCUCGGCCCUGAUCACCUGCAGGUGGACUGACUGGAUCGGCUCUGUGAACCCACAGUGUCAAGGACGCUUGUGACGGGUCCGCUCGAGCAGCCAGCUGUGUACUUUCUCCCCCCUUGGCCUCAGUACUAUGUCCCUAUCACUAAUUACCCUGUGUUAACUGCUUUUGUUGUGUUGGGUCUGUAUUGUGGUCAAUGCCUACAGACAGAGAAAUGUGAAUUAAAGCAUUUGAUACAUUGGGGAUGUUUGCUUGUUUUUUAAUAAAAUUAAAGUGCAGCACUUG
Molecule: long non-coding RNA, 2455 nt
Organism: Phocoena sinus (vaquita)
Lineage: Eukaryota; Metazoa; Chordata; Mammalia; Artiodactyla; Phocoenidae
Source: Ensembl